Contarinia nasturtii (swede midge) is the source of this 497-nucleotide long non-coding RNA. RefSeq lists it as uncharacterized. Lineage: Eukaryota; Metazoa; Arthropoda; Insecta; Diptera; Cecidomyiidae. The transcript is spliced from 3 exons. The record is from RefSeq and is a predicted model, not a curated record.
UGUAAUUUCUAGAUUGCUCUAAGGCUGGUCGAAGAGAAAAAGAUGCCACCACUAGAAAACUUAACCAAAGCUGAUUAUGAAGAAAUGUUGGAGAUGUCAAACAAUCGACGACAAAAGUAUUAUGUUUAUUUGCAUUCAUCAACAAUGGGCACUUCGAAUGACGAGAAGCGUAUAAUAGCAGCGAGUAUCUGUGAUACAAAAAAAAACAACUGGGCACACUUGGUCAGCCGAAAACCGAUCAUAUUCGAUGUGGCCCAGGACAUAAUACACAAUUUUUGCAAAUAAGAAGAGAAACAAUGACUAAAUGGAGAAAUUUGAAAUUGUGGCGUGCGAUGAGACUAAAUGAACCAGCUCUAAUAUUGGACUGUGGUUUCAAUGACAGAAUUACGGACCAGGAAAUUCGAGAUAUAGCGCGUCAAAUUAAAUAUUCCUUCAGUGAAAAUUGAUUAGAUCGUAAACCAUUUGUACUGAAUUUGUGUAACAUGAACACAAAUUCA